RNAcentral lists this long non-coding RNA (2237 nucleotides) under Mus musculus (house mouse). RNAcentral describes it as "lncRNAISIR 2". Lineage: Eukaryota; Metazoa; Chordata; Mammalia; Rodentia; Muridae. The record is from RNAcentral.
UUUUUUUUUUACUAGUUUUAAGGGUGUACUUGCUGCUUUUUUCCUGCAGGCGGAGACAUUGUGUUGGAAAUAACCCGUGAAUGUACCCACAAGCGUUCAGUUCAAGCACAGCAGGACUUUCCGGUUCCGAUUCUGGGUUGCUUUUGCGAGUUUAUGCAGAGGGCAACUAAGGAUAUACACUACACGUCCACUGGAAGCCGAUGGUAAACAGGAGGGUGCCUUCUGAGGUGGAGAAGUGAAGCACAUAGCACAACAUCCUACAACAGCAACUUGAAACCUUUCAUGAGCUCUCAUUCAUAAUUUUCUCAUUGCUUUCCCUUCCCCACUGCAAAUUUCACGUAAAUCAGUUGACUCUAAUGCUUUUCCCCAACUCGAUCACUGGGGAAAUCAGAAGUUUAGAACAAUAUUCCUGCACAGGAGCCGGGGAAUACGGAGAUGCUGACAAAGCAGGGCUAGAACGCAGCAGUAAGGAUAGCAGAGAGGGACAGAAAGCUAUGACCAGCCCUUCCUUUGGCUCCUUGCUCCAGAGAUGGCACCAAAGCACCAGCAUGCAUGUCAGACUUUCAAUAUUAUCAAUUAAUGGCAGGUUGAUCAGGACGAAACUCCAUCUUUACCUCCAUUCUCAUUAACUUCCUCCCCUUAUUUUAUCUUUUGUUUUUCCUGUAAUUGAGAAGGUACUUGUAGUUAGAUUUAGAGCCACAUAGCUCAUAGUGAUCUCAUUUCUUGAUCCCCUAUUAUAUCUACAAAGUUCUUUUGUCCAGAUAAGCUAACUUAUAUGCAUGUCCUGGGUUAGAACUCUGAAAAGCCUCAGAAUGGGUGUGCUUCAACACAAUACUACUAUCUUGACUCACAUAGAUGUUCAUUUAUAAAGAUUCAUUUAUGUUCAUUUUGCGUUUUGUCUUAGAUUUGAUGGAUUACCACAGUGGCUGCACUGGAUUUGAAUUGUGCUUCAAGAAUAUCUCCUUGGGAGAUGACAGAGAGUAGGAGAAGCGUCUCAUCACGUGCUGGCUCUAUGCCCAUAGGCGAAACCAGCUUUCAAUCCCUGUCAGAGAAGCUCCUUUUGACAGUGUGCAGCAGUUACUGCAGAGACUUACAACUUGUCAAGAUGCAGAGAACAAAUGUCUGUGCAGUGCUCAGCCACAGCUGACUCCAAAGCUCCAGGAUGUUGUAUAAGAGGAGGAGACAGGAUUAAAUGCCUGGGGUCAGAAAGGACUGCUAUGAGACACUGUCUUCUGACGUGCCAUGCCUGGUGCAGUGAUAAACUCACAGCCUAUACGAAUGCUUACACAGAACUGCACAAGUUCAAGCCAGUCCCUAUUGCAGCAUCAAGGAGAGAGAACCCCCGAGGCCUUCCCUACUGAUUGAGAAACUGUUAGCAGUUGGUGGUGACUGAGAGGGGUGCAUGCCAUAUGGUAGGUAUGUAAGUAUGCUUGAACACUUGUGGAAUUUUUGAGACAGGUGGUCAAGCCCAGCCAAAAUAUAUGUGUCUGUAUGUGUCUAUGUGAGUGCUUGAUUUCUCGCUUUCUUUCUCUUCUUUUUUCUCUGGCGCACAAAGAGUUAACAAGUUCCAAGCUUUUUGCCUGGCUAGGGAGGGGCCCUUGAGACAGAGAGAAAUGAAGCCUUUUUGGUAAUUCCCUUGCUGUUACCAGUUUUAGUAAUUUUAUCAGAAGUAAGCAGAUUUUAAUGACAGAAUAGCAAAAUAGUUAAAUUUCCAAAGGCCAUCAACUUCUGACCCCCAGAACAGUAAGAGAGUUACAAGGCCAGAGAUCAUCAGUCUUUAGCCUUAUUUCGAUGCUGUGCCCCUCUUCAGUUCCUAAUCUCUUGCUAGGCCUGACACCCCACCCCACCCCCAGCAUGGCACAUCACCUCUCUCAGCAAGUUUUCUCCCUGUUCCAGGGCUUUGGGUCAACAUCCUCUAGGUGCAGUUCUAUAGAAGGUAUCUUCCCUUUCCUCCUCUCACACUCAGAGAGCCUCUCAUUCUUAAGUCCAUUAUAUUCUAGCUCCCCUUAGCUAGCCUCCACUUCUUCAGUAAAUCUUGUAUUCCUCAGAAGAUCUCUAGCCGUCCAAAGUAUGAUGCUGAAUGUUGGUGCUGGGGAUAAGACCUCUCAUUUGUUACUGUUGGAAUAUGCAAAAUAGUAAUUACUUUGGAAGAAUUUUGGCAGAUUUUUACAAAGAUGAACAUUGUCUUAGUAUAGACUCCAAUUAUACUCUUUGGUUGGUAUUGGGCCAACAGUGUU